UGAGAUGUCGAAAACUUUAUUCACGCUUUCAGAAAGGGUAACCACGCAAUAAAACUAGGUAGGACAAAUCGUGAUCAACCAUUUUGAAUGUAUCAUGAUGAAAAGCAAAUAAAAACACAACUACAUGUACAUUUAAAAAAAUUUCUUGUAUUUACAUUUAGUCAAAUACCGUUAAUCAAAAUAAAUGUCAGUACCCCACAGCAGUAGUAGACAUUAGGAAGAACAGCCUCAUCAGCUCAAACCACUCUUCUAGUUGAUGUCAGUAGUACUGCAAGUCUUCACUCAAUCCUAACAGUCAUUCAAAAGCUGAUCCACUCUUCCAUACAAGAUUAAUUGAUUAGGAACAAAUGACUGUACACAUGUUAAAUGUUGUGCUCUACGAUAACCUAGGAAAUUGCAAAUUAGAUAACGGCAAACUACUAGGUAUGAGAAUUCAUAAAGAAAUUCAAGGUAUAUUUCUAUGACAGAGGGUAGUUUCUAUUUGAGUUGUACAUUUCAAAAAGGUUUUCCGCAAUGUAGGUAGGAAUCAUAUUACAAACGUGGUAUUAAAUCUAGGUAGUUCUAAACUCUUCAACUGAGUUUGAUAUGCAGGGAAGUCAUUUAUCAAAAACGUACAAAGUCCCUUGCCGGUGAUCCUCUUUAUGCAUGUAAAAACUAAGUUGGUCGAAUUCAAGUCAGCAGUAGGUUGGUAUCACAAAACAUUAUGCGAGUCCCUCGUAGGCACGAACUCAGAAGGAAGAGGUAAAUUACUGAUAAUGAAUGACUAUCAAUCAAUCUUGUUAUUGUACCAAUUGGGAACAGAGUGGUGGAAGGGACUUUUAAUAACUUAAUUUCUUUAAAAUGACUCCAUUUUAUGGACAUAAGCCUUUCAAUUCAAUCAAUAGAUCACACAUUAACACAGUUUGAUCACCCAACAGAGGCUAAUAUUAGUAAACAACUGGUCCAAAUCCAGAUUGUACAGAGAGGCCUCUAGAGGAGAGCCUGGUCAUUACAAGCUUAUACAUAUGAGAAAUGCCACAUUCUGGCUUCACCCCAAACACCACCCUAUCCCCUAUACCAGGGCUAUUCAACUCUCCCUACGAGGUCCAGAGCCUGCUAGUUUUCUGUUCUACCUGACAAUUAAAUUGCACACACCUGUUGUUCCAGGUCUAAAAUCAGUCCCAGAUUAGAAGGGACCAUGAACAAAACGCAGUGGAACUGGCUUUGAGGUCCAGAGUUUAGUUUGAGAAACCUAUAUAGCGCACUACCUUUGGCUAGAGACCUAGUAGUGUGUUCUAUAGUCAUAGGUGUCAUUUCAGACUUGGCUCACUGUGCCUCUGACUUAUCAGCAGAAUUAAAUAAUACACAUUAUUAAUGUGUUACGUGAGGUCUGACUGAGAAUAGUUGACUGGUCCCAGAUCUGUUGGUUCAACUCCUUUGACUAUCAUAGAGAUACAGAUUUGAGCCCAGAUUACUGAGAGAACUGAGGUUAUCCUCUUCCAUAGACUGAGGAUUAUUAGUUCAGACAUCUACUGUUCAAGUGGUUUGGAGGAGUGUGGAGUGGCUUCGUAACAUUUUACAUUAACACAAUGAGAAGUUGAAUGUUAAAUGCAUUAAUAAAGUGCAUAAUGGUUUGGUACUGAAACAUUAUGGUACUUAAUUGUUUUUAAUGUCUAAAAAAACACUAUUUUUGUCAGUAGACACAUUUUCCCCCUCCAUUGCCCAUCUGGCAUAUACUCCCAACACAAUGGUGAGCGAACACAGAAAUACAUGACAUCUACAGUGGGGUCUUCAUCGGUAGACGGGUGGUGGAGAGAAAAACAGUGAUCCAUCUACGGCUGGGGUGGCCAACUCUCCUCCCGGAGAGCUACUGGGUGCAAACGCGUAUCCCUGCUCGAACAUACCUUCUUCAACUGACCAGCCGUGUUAGAGAAGGGCUGGAGCACAAGCCUAAACAACCAGUAGUUCUGCCAGAUUUCUGAUGUAAGACUAGCUUCCAAGGACCUUCUCCAGGGCCGGCUCAGGUGAGGUAGAGCAAGGGGGGUUACUCUGGGGGUAUUGGGGCAUUAGACACCUUGGGCUGCGCCCCCCUCAGAGUGGUGGUGUUACCUCCACAGUCUACAUACUGGUACAUCUCCUGAGUGACCUGCUCCAUGUGGCCAAAGUACAUCGUCGUCACCGUCACC
Molecule: long non-coding RNA, 2165 nt
Filed under: Salmo salar (Atlantic salmon)
Lineage: Eukaryota; Metazoa; Chordata; Actinopteri; Salmoniformes; Salmonidae
Description: lncRNA (ENSSSAG00000073450.2)
Source: RNAcentral